CCCGCUCCUUGCACACACCGCCUGCCAACUCAUCCAAGUGAGGAUUUAGUGAGGCUGAGUUAAAUGCUCAUUCGAACUAAGUUUUUAUGAGGAGGGGUAAGGCAUAACAAGGUAUCCGUAGGGGAACCUGCGGAUAGAUCACCUCAU
Molecule: ribosomal RNA, 147 nt
Filed under: Microcaldota archaeon
Lineage: Archaea; Nanobdellati; Microcaldota
Description: partial 16S ribosomal RNA
Rfam family: Archaeal small subunit ribosomal RNA
Source: RNAcentral